UGGAGGGCGGCGGUGCAGCGAGCUAAGGGACCCAGUUCGCAUGCAGAAAGAAAGUUAAAAGUGGCAUUUUUAGCACAGAGCCUAGGGAAUCCCGGUGGCAUUUGGCCAAAGUUGAUUUACCCCAUUUGUUAACACUCGCCCUUUACAAGGGAGAACUUAGUUGUCCAGAGGGGAAGUUAUUGGAAGAAUAACUGAUGAGGCCUAUCAGUAAUACCAAAAAAGGAUCUGCCAACAAAAAAGUGUCUUCACACUGAAAUCCCUGAGAGGUUUGUAAGCUAAUUGAAAUGUGGGCCUUGGAUACCCUGGUUGGGAUUUAUUCAUCUAAAAAAAGUGAAGAAAUGAAGAUCUUCUGAUGAUUCGGGCACUCUUUAACUCUAAGGACCCAGGUUUGGAGACUACUGGCAUCUUCUUUUUGGCAUUCAGCAAGAAUCUAAUCACUCAGCAUGCGAUACUCCUCUUCAGGGAAGAAGAGCCAGGGAAUCUCCAAAGGGUCCCAAAGCUGGGAAGGAUCCGAGACAAGGUCAAGCCUGACUCCGAGUGCCACACUCGUCCUACUCUACCACACUGGCUGUCAAGAAACUAA
This 583-nucleotide long non-coding RNA is filed under the name Monodelphis domestica (gray short-tailed opossum). Its description in RNAcentral is "lncRNA (ENSMODG00000035076.2)". Lineage: Eukaryota; Metazoa; Chordata; Mammalia; Didelphimorphia; Didelphidae. The record is from RNAcentral.